Molecule: small nucleolar RNA, 78 nt
Filed under: Cynoglossus semilaevis (tongue sole)
Lineage: Eukaryota; Metazoa; Chordata; Actinopteri; Pleuronectiformes; Cynoglossidae
Description: Small nucleolar RNA SNORD111 (ENSCSEG00000014211.1)
Source: RNAcentral
UGCUGUGAAUAUGAUGAGCUCUUCGUGUCUCUUCUCUGACAUUGACUGGAGAAAGAUUUAUCACCUCUGACCUCAGCA